GACGAACGCUGGCGGCGUGCCUAAUACAUGCAAGUAGAACGCUUAAGGAGGAGCUUGCUUCUCUGGAUGAGUUGCGAACGGGUGAGUAACGCGUAGGUAACCUGCCUGGUAGCGGGGGAUAACUAUUGGAAACGAUAGCUAAUACCGCAUAAUAGUAGAUGUUGCAUGACAUUUGCUUAAAAGGUGCAAUUGCAUCACUACCAGAUGGACCUGCGUUGUAUUAGCUAGUUGGUGGGGUAACGGCUCACCAAGGCGACGAUACAUAGCCGACCUGAGAGGGUGAGCGGCCACACUGGGACGGAGACACGGCCCAGACGCCUAGGGGAGGCAGCAGGAGGGAAUCUUCGGCAAGGGACGGAAGUCUGAGCGAGAAACGCGGCGGGAGUGAAGAAGGUUUUCGGAUCGGAAAGCUCGGUUUUAAGAGAAGAACGAGUGUGAGAGUGGAAAGUUCACACUGUGACGGUAUCUGACCAGAAAGGGACGGCUAACUACGUG
This 495-nucleotide ribosomal RNA is filed under the name uncultured bacterium. RNAcentral's name for it is "partial 16S ribosomal RNA". It matches the Rfam family "Bacterial small subunit ribosomal RNA", at positions 28 to 507 of the family's 1533-position model. The record is from RNAcentral.